This 104-nucleotide ribosomal RNA is filed under the name Cephalotus follicularis. Lineage: Eukaryota; Viridiplantae; Streptophyta; Magnoliopsida; Oxalidales; Cephalotaceae. The record is from RNAcentral.
AGGUACGAUCAUACCAGCACUAAUGUACCGGAACCCAUUAGAACUCCGAAGUUAAGCGUGCUUUGAUGAGAAUAGUACUAAGAUGGACUUUUUCACAGGACUUC